This is a long non-coding RNA of Helianthus annuus (common sunflower), 1692 nucleotides long. RefSeq lists it as uncharacterized. The transcript has 4 exons. NCBI's taxonomy places the organism in Eukaryota, Viridiplantae, Streptophyta, Magnoliopsida, Asterales, Asteraceae. The record is from RefSeq and is a predicted model, not a curated record.
AGCAUGAAAUUCUAGAAAACCCUACCAUCUCCUGGUAAAUGAAUCGUCUGGCGUUCAAUUCGUCUUUUCAAUGGAAACAUAACAGCAUUUUAUUGCUCAGGAGAUGAGGGUUAUGGGAGAUACAUGGAGAUAGCACUCAAGCAACGAUACUCAUCCUAGGGCCACCAUAGCCGCAGGCUUCACUUCCGUUUAAUUUGCAUUUUUUCAAUCUCUACAUCCCAUCUUACUCUAUGUAUCUAUUUUUAACCUAAUCAAUCUAUGUUCUUUUUCUAUUUGUAUGGGUUCAAGGACAAUUGUGCUAACUCAGGGUGUUCAGAUCUAGGGUUCUGACAAAAUGGAGAUGGUUACGGGUUCCGGUGGCGAGUGUGUUAAGAUUAGACAACUAUCAGAGGAAGAUCGACCUUCCAACCAUGCUACGGCAAAGAUUCCGGCAACUACGAUGAAUGUUUGUGGCUUACCCGAUUGUGACGUGUUAUUGGUUCGGUUUGUUGCCGACCCGAAUCUUUAUGUCCAGUUGGAGUUCGUAGCUAGGGGCGUCUUCUCAGCAACCGUGGUUCAUGACUAAUACGCUGUUAUUGUUGUGCCUGAUGUAAGUAUCCGUGCAUAAAAAUACAAGCCAUGGAGAUUAUCAAACAAAAGAAUAAUGUGCAGACGUUUUCCAGUAUAUUCUUCCAUACGCUAAGGCUUCUUCUGUAAGCCUUUCAUAAAUUAUAAUCAGUUGAGAGAUGACGAGAUGAGCAGAAGGCAUAGCAUCGCGGCGUCCUCUGUGAGAGAUGACGAGAGUAUGGACAGUUCGCCGUCGGUUCCGAGUUUCCUAUUUUACCGCACUAUUGUGUGCAUAGUCAUUGCUAGAAUGGCUUUAUAGUAUGUAUUUUAGCAUCUGUGUUAAACUUAAAAACGAAAGUCGAGGUGGCGGUUGUGUAGGAAGUCGUGGCGGUGGUCGAGGUUGAAGUCGAGGCGGAGGUGGAGGCGGUGGAGAAGGCGGAGCUUUGUCGACUCUACUGCAACACUCACGAGGUUCUUGAAAAUCAUAAAAAUGGGAAAAAACAUGAAUAGAAUAUGGAAAUACAGGAAGAAUUACAGCGGCUUGCGGGAAAAACACAAAUGUCGGUUCCCAUGGAUAGCCGGAAGUCAAAGUCGAAAGUCAAAUGAUGCAGGCUGAAGAACAAGGGAACAGUUUAAAGAGAAAAAUGAGAGAGGGAAUACUAACCAAUUAUUGUUGCAAUGUUCUUGACAUCAGUCGUAAGGAAUCGAGAUGGUGAAGUCACGUUAUACCCUUUUCAGAACCAAACAUUUCUCCUUUAAGUGGGAACCCUCAUUUGUUUAGAGUUCAUACGUUCGGGCUGCAGUGGACCUGGCUUUUAUAUAUGGGGAGAUGCGGAUCUUUUUAGCUACAGGAGAGGUUUAUUGACACGUCUUAGUGGAAAGGUGAAAAAAAUGAAGUUCAGUAUCAAUUUCAGUGAGCCAACCUUAGGUUAAAAUGCUUAAUAUGUGCUCUGAAGAGAGUCCCUUGUUAUGGAUGCUUAGUGAGUUGGUGAAGCUAGCAAACCACAAGAGUUCAGUGGCCAAUCUUAUUUUUGCAUGUUUGCAUUGCUGAAUAUUUCCAUCGCUUAUUCAACCAUAUUUUUUCUCACGGUAUAUUGUUUUGUAUUAUUAAAGUAUAUUGUUUGAAAAUGGAAUUGGAUUAUAAUA